GAUGAACGCUGGCGGCGUGCCUAAUACAUGCAAGUCGAGCGAACAGACGAGGAGCUUGCUCCUCUGACGUUAGCGGCGGUCGGGUGAGUAACACGUGGAUAACCUACCUAUAAGACUGGGAUAACUUCGGGAAACCGGAGCUAAUACCGGAUAAUAUAUUGAACCGCAUGGUUCAAUAGUGGAAGACGGUUUUGCUGUCACUUAUAGAUGGAUCCGCGCCGCAUUAGCUAGUUGGUAAGGUAACGGCUUACCAAGGCAACGAUGCGUAGCCGACCUGAGAGGGUGAUCGGCCACACUGGAACUGAGACACGGUCCAGACUCCUACGGGAGGCAGCAGUAGGGAAUCUUCCGCAAUGGGCGAAAGCCUGACGGAGCAACGCCGCGUGAGUGAUGAAGGUCUUCGGAUCGUAAAACUCUGUUAUUAGGGAAGAACAAAUGUGUAAGUAACUAUGCACGUCUUGACGGUACCUAAUCAGAAAGCCACGGCUAACUACGUG
Molecule: ribosomal RNA, 497 nt
Filed under: uncultured bacterium
Lineage: Bacteria
Description: partial 16S ribosomal RNA
Rfam family: Bacterial small subunit ribosomal RNA
Source: RNAcentral